Molecule: long non-coding RNA, 965 nt
Filed under: Rattus norvegicus (Norway rat)
Lineage: Eukaryota; Metazoa; Chordata; Mammalia; Rodentia; Muridae
Description: long non-coding RNA NONRATT015841
Source: RNAcentral
AUUUUCCUUAGGACCAUGCAAAAUAUAAUUUUAUAUUUCAUAUUCCUUAAGUUCUUUGUAUUGUAAACUUUGAUAGUGUUCCAAGCCCCUUCUUUUUAGUACUUAGCCACAGUCUUGGGAGUUAUUUGUUUACUAUCUUGUUUUCUAAACUAGAUUAGAGACUUUAUAAGGUGGAGAUUAUAUAUGUUUCUCUGUCUUUGCCUUUGCUGUGUGCCAUAUAUAAAUAUCCAAUAAAUAUCUUUGCAAAUUUACAUUUUUAUUCCAUCUGUAAUAUAUUUUAAAUAUAUGAUGACAUAAGCCCCAUUUCUUUCGAAGUACUUGACAGUUCCCACUGAAUAACCCACACCGGCGUACCCUCCAGUGCACUCAGCCCUCCAAUGCAUGAAUCCCUCCAGUGUGCUCAUCUCUCCAGUGUGCUCAGCCCUCCCGUGCACACAGCCCUCCCGUGCACACAGCCCUCCCGUGCACACAUCCCCAUCACCCCACCCUUACUUUUCUGCUUGGUACCUUCAUCACAUGAAAGUUCUUACAGCUAUUUCUGUUAGGGAAUUUCUGACUCAGCGUGCCUAUUACAGGGUGGGGGUCACACAUUGGUGAGCUGAUUUCUCAUACUUCUUUUGAACUCCCUGCGCUAUUCACAGGUGAGCUUUGCUCUCAUCUGUCAGGCCCACAAAACUACCACUGGAAUUUGAGCUACUGGUUAAUUUGAAACAGUGUCUUAAAUGUUUAAAUGGGAGUGCCUCUACAUUUCUUUAUCUUCUGUUUAAAUUCCCUUGGUUUUCAGGUAGGCUUGUUUGCUUUAACAUCUGGAGUAAUCUUCACAGGUAGCUGGGAUUUAAACGUGACCUGUUUGUAUCUUUUUCUCUUUUAAGCUUUUGUCAGAAGCGAUAAACCCAAACUGUUCAGAGGUCUACAGAUCAAGUAUGUUCGAGGCUCAGACCCUGUACUAAAGCUUUUGGACGACA